Long non-coding RNA from Pipra filicauda (Wire-tailed manakin), 451 nucleotides. RefSeq lists it as uncharacterized. The transcript has 4 exons. NCBI's taxonomy places the organism in Eukaryota, Metazoa, Chordata, Aves, Passeriformes, Pipridae. The record is from RefSeq and is a predicted model, not a curated record.
UGCUGUUAUCCAGGAAAGUAGGAAGUCAGAAGUAAUCCCAGGACUGCAAGUGACUUUUUCAACUGGCACCUGCACUAAAUUCUUCUCAAGUCUCUUACCGGAUGUGCAAAGUUGUAGCAGAUUAUCAAGUGGUAUUGAGUCAUGGCUUAAAGCUCCUCACCUUGGAAGACUUUUUUCUGCUGAGAAGAAAUCACUUUUCUCCAUCACAGCAUCCAAGGAUAUGGAAUAUGUCCUUUGAACCAUUUCUGUGAGAGUGCCUUAGGCACCAAUCGCAAAGAGACAGGUAUUUUCCUGAUGCAGUGAAAGCUCCUGUGCCGUACAAGCCAAAGGGAACUGUCUUAGCCACGCAUCAGAGAAGGAAAUCAGGUAGAAAUUUCAGGUAUGCAGGACAACCGAUGCAAUUCACAUUUUCUGAUCACCAUUACAGGAAAAGAGUCGUGUGCAGUAUUUC